Molecule: non-coding RNA, 396 nt
Filed under: Papio anubis (olive baboon)
Lineage: Eukaryota; Metazoa; Chordata; Mammalia; Primates; Cercopithecidae
Description: Eukaryotic large subunit ribosomal RNA
Rfam family: Eukaryotic large subunit ribosomal RNA
Source: Rfam by way of RNAcentral
CCUGCUGGACUUAAACAUAUUCGUCAUCAGGGGAAAAGAAACCAACAAAAAUUCCCUCUAAUAGUGGCGAGUGAAUUGGGAAAAACCUAGUGCUGAAUCCUUGCCCAGUGGUCAGGAGUGGAAAAUGUGACAUAUGGAAGACUCACUCCCUAGUGCAGCUCAGGCCCAAGUGCUGAUGGAGAAUGUGAACAGUGUGAGAGCGGUAGCAGGCCUGAGGGACCAAGCCCGGAUCUUCCUGGAGUUGGGUUCCAUGGGAAUGCAGUUUAAAGUGGGUGGUAAACUCCAUCCAGGGCUAAAUACAAACCCAAGACAGAUAGUCAACAAGUACCAUAUGGAAAAGUUGGAAAAGCUUUGUAGAGAGGGCAAAAGGGGGCCAAAUUAGCCUUUAUAACAAAG